AGUAGAGUUAAUUAUACUCUGGAUAGAGUUAAUCCAUUAUAAUUAACUCUCAGUCGAUAAAUAGUUGUUGUCAAAACCGAGUGUAAAAAGGAAGUGUCACUAAAUCAAAUCUCUAAGUGUAAAUGUUUAAAUAUUAACUCCGAACUUCUUACUCUAAACUCUGAUCCUGUAUUUCACACCUCAAGUGUUAACGUCACCCCUCCCCCCUACACCGUUCGAACACCGCUCUGCUAUAGCAAGUUCUGCGUGUCAAUUGGUCUGCUGAAGAUAGAGCUACCUCUCAACUUUUAACGGUUACACUGUUCGAUGCAUUAAUGUCUCCUGGCAUUUCUUGUGAAAAUGCUGGCAAAGGUGGAAUACGGAGGAGUCCAAAAAUACAUCAAAAUUCCACAAAUUGAUGAAAACUUUGACUUCCAGAAGUUUCUUCAAGAAGUAACAGACAAAUUUAGUCUGCAGGCCCAACUUGUGACUGAAGGUGUGCUCAGCUUGACUGACACAUCAGAGACUGAGGUUGAUGCCGACACAUUCGAUGACCUGGUCAAAUCAGGG
Pleuronectes platessa (European plaice) is the source of this 549-nucleotide long non-coding RNA. RefSeq lists it as uncharacterized. Lineage: Eukaryota; Metazoa; Chordata; Actinopteri; Pleuronectiformes; Pleuronectidae. The transcript is spliced from 4 exons. The record is from RefSeq and is a predicted model, not a curated record.